GGAGGGCAUGUAGGUGAGAGGUUGACGGGGGCUAAGGUGGCAUGUAGGUGAGAGGUUGACGGGGGCUAAGGUGGCAUGUAGGUGAGAGGUUGACGGGGGCUAAGGUGGCAUGUAGGUGAGAGGUUGACGGGGGCUAAGGUGGCAUGCGGUGGAGGUACUACCUGUCCGUGAUUUACAGUUUCCUCUUCUCAUUUUAAAACAGGAAGUUGUGUCAGCCCUGUCGGUGGUUUACUUCAUUCAUUUUAUUUGAUAAGAUAUCUAGAUAGGGAGAUGGAUAGUUGUCAUGGCGGCUGUGAAUUUAUUGGUGUAUGGGUUUGCAUCUGUGUGUGAAAUUUGAAUGCCAUUUUCAUCUGCAAACAUACAUGGUAGUGCUUUCCAAUAUGUUUUGCUACUCGUACUAUAUGAUAAUAACAGGACAUUGAAAUUAAGCAUACUAUUUAUUAACUUCAAGGAAAAGAUGAAGUUGUCAGAAGGUUGAAAAUGCAGUCUUAUUACCUGAGUGUUCUCCAUCCUAUUAAGCCAAUAUGCUCCACUGGCCAGUUAGCCAGUGCUGAGGUGGCACACAGAGUUCACAGUACACUCACUACACCCCAGGUAGACGCUGCCUCUAAAGUCAGAUAAACAAAACUGAUCGUUCAACAGUUUUAGGGGCAAUGUCUGUCUGUUCUACUCUUAUGUUCUAUUGCUGCCAAGUCAGAUGAUUUCCAAAACUGAUCCUAUUUCAGUUUUAAGGACAACUUUUUACCACUUUUACAUAUUUUACUUGUUGGGACUAUCUACACUUCUAUGUUCUAUUGCUGCCAAGUUAAUCAUAGAAAUAGAAAGCAUAGAAUGGACACCUGUAUCAGAGAUUGAAAUGUACAAACAACUAUGAUUGGCUGUUUUGUUGGCAUGCAAUCAGAAUCAGCAUGAGUGAAGUCUGUUCUAUGCAUUCCAUUUCUAUGGUGUCCUCUUAUGUGCUGUCCAGUUGCCUAUAACCUGAGUCGGCUGUAAUUGGAGUAAGUCCCUAUAUAUGCUGUUUUGUUCUACUUUGAAAAUGAAAUGGUGUUUUUGGCUGAGUGUGAACAGUGACUAACAGAAGGUUAUUUAUUUGUAAAGCAUUUAUAAACGCAUCAGUGCAUGCAAUUAAGUUAUUUGAUAAUAAUAAUGUGAAAUUCUAUUUGUGCCGUGUUUCAGUAUGGUAAGUUAUUUUUAUCUUCUUGUUUCAAAUUAACUAAGGGAUGAUAUUUAUUUGUGAAAAAAAAACAUUUUCCAGUUUUUAUUUUAUUUUGGGAUUUCGUUUUUUAUUUCAUUUGAGUUUUUUCAUGACUGUAUUAUGAGUUAAUGUAUUGUUUUAUUUUGAUGCUGUACAGACUAGACGUUUGUAUGAGGUGCCAUGCGUUGUGACUCUAUCGCUCCUCUCUUCUCUGAUGUGCAGGAGUUGUUUUGAAACCUACACUUAGAAAAAAACGGUUCCAAAAUGGAUCUUCGGUGGUCCCUAUAGGAGAACCCUUUUUGCUUCCAGGUAGAAAGUCUUUUGGGUUCCAUGUAGAAAGAACCCUCUGUGGAAAGGGUUCUAAAUGGAAUUCAGAAGGGUUCUACCUGGAACCAAAAAGGGUUCUUCAAAGGGUUCUCCUAUGGGGACAGCCAAAGAACCCGUUUAGGCACUAGAUAGCACCUUUUUUUCUAAGAGUGUACAAUAGUGUGAAUGAAGAACCGUACUAUAAAAAGACAGACUUCCAUUCAGGCAGCCAAAGCAUGAUUGCAUGGUAAACUCAUCUGUUAAAGCAGACACAGUUACAGAAGUUGUCUCAAACAUUUUAAAGGAAAAGUGUAUUCUCUAAUCAUAAUUCUUAAAUUAUAUUCUUGUUAUUUAAAUAUUAUCAUUAUUAUAUUUAUAAUUAACAUUAUUCUUAAGCUCUCUGCUAAUUGCUCUUGCGUUUUGCUGAUCCUUGUUUGGUCUCAUUGUGCUUUAUUUUGAGAGGUGAACUUACCGGAGACCUCGUGCCAUAUGGUUUGUGCCAUGGUUCUCUCUCGGACUCCUUUAUUACACAAACUGUAAGCAUGCCCCAUGGGACAAACCACUUUUUUACUCUUGAAUAAAAUAUGCAUGAACCUUUGGCAUACUUCUGUUUAUGGCCUGUCUCACGUCAGAGUUAGACGUUCAUCCAUGUUUCUCACACAUCACAUUUCAAAGUUGUUCCAGUUCCAAAUGUCAAAGUGUUUAAGGUCAGGCAUUAACUCUGAUUUUUAAAGGUUUCUUUUGCUGGAUUCGAACAUGCAACCUUCUGAAACAGAGGCAGAUGCUUACGCAUCCCCAUGCACAACGCCCUACGAAACCUACCUGAAGGUAACAGCGUUCACUGUUGCCCCUAGUGGCCGGUUUCCACGUCAUCUCCCCACAUCCUCAGACAUGGAUGGAUGUCGAAUUCUGUCUUUUAUCAUGGCUGAUCUGACUGGUUUAUUAACUCCUUCAUACACAGACAAACGCAUACAGAAAGGCACCCACAUGUAGACACACACACACACCACAGGCUCUUCCUGACAUAAUAGGGUCGGGGUCCAAUCCAUCAAGGGG
Oncorhynchus tshawytscha (Chinook salmon) is the source of this 2557-nucleotide long non-coding RNA. The record is from Ensembl. NCBI's taxonomy places the organism in Eukaryota, Metazoa, Chordata, Actinopteri, Salmoniformes, Salmonidae.